RNAcentral lists this ribosomal RNA (253 nucleotides) under uncultured bacterium. RNAcentral describes it as "partial 16S ribosomal RNA". It matches the Rfam family "Bacterial small subunit ribosomal RNA", at positions 524 to 776 of the family's 1533-position model. The record is from RNAcentral.
UACGAGGGGGGCGAGCGUUGUUCGGAUUUACUGGGCGUAAAGCGCACGUAGGCGGAUUUUUAAGUCAGGGGUGAAAUCCCGGGGCUCAACCCCGGAACUGCCUUUGAUACUGGGAAUCUUGAGUUCGGGAGAGGUGAGUGGAAUUGCGAGUGUAGAGGUGAAAUUCGUAGAUAUUCGCAAGAACACCAGUGGCGAAGGCGGCUCACUGGCCCGAUACUGACGCUGAGGUGCGAAAGCGUGGGGAGCAAACAGG